ACAAGCGGUGGAUGAUGUGGAUUAAUUCGAUGCAACGCGAAAAACCUUACCUACCCUUGACAUGUCCAGAACCCUGCAGAGAUGCGGGGAUGCCCGAAAGGGAAUUGGAACACAGGUGCUGCAUGGCUGUCGUCAGCUCGUGUCGUGAGAUGUUGGGUUAAGUCCCGCAACGAGCGCAACCCUUAUCAUUAGUUGCUACGCAAGGGCACUCUAAUGAGACUGCCGGUGACAAACCGGAGGAAGGUGGGGAUGACGUCAAGUCCUCAUGGCCCUUAUGGGUAGGGCUUCACACGUCAUACAAUGGUCGGUACAGAGGGUUGCCAAGCCGCGAGGUGGAGCCAAUCCCAGAAAGCCGAUCGUAGUCCGGAUUGUUCUCUGCAACUCGAGAGCAUGAAGUCGGAAUCGCUAGUAAUCGCGGAUCAGCAUGUCGCGGUGAAUACGUUCCCGGGUCUU
Molecule: ribosomal RNA, 453 nt
Filed under: uncultured Thiobacillus sp.
Lineage: Bacteria; Pseudomonadati; Pseudomonadota; Betaproteobacteria; Nitrosomonadales; Thiobacillaceae
Description: bacterial SSU rRNA
Rfam family: Bacterial small subunit ribosomal RNA
Source: RNAcentral